AUACGGAAGGUGCAAGCGUUGUUCGGAAUGACUGGGCGUAAAGCGCGCGUAGGCGGGUUUAUAAGUCGAUUGUGAAAGCCCCGGGCUCAACCUGGGAAUUGCAGUCGAAACUGUAGAUCUUGAAUGCCUGAGAGGUUGGCGGAAUUCCAGGUGUAGGAGUGAAAUCCGUAGAUAUCUGGAGGAACAUCAGAGGCGAAGGCGGCUAACUGGCAGUGCAUUGACGCUGAGGCGCGAAAGCGUGGGGAGCAAACAGGAUUAGAUACCCUGGUAGUCCACGCUGUAAACGAUGGAUACUAAGUGUUUGGGAAGUUAAUCUCCUGAGUGCUACAGCUAACGCAUUAAGUAUCCCGCCUGGGGAGUACGGUCGCAAGGCUAAA
Molecule: ribosomal RNA, 377 nt
Filed under: uncultured Oligoflexia bacterium
Lineage: Bacteria; Pseudomonadati; Bdellovibrionota; Oligoflexia
Description: bacterial SSU rRNA
Rfam family: Bacterial small subunit ribosomal RNA
Source: RNAcentral